CGGGGGCGAGGACGCGUUGUUGAAGGAGAAUAUGGCGAAAGAUGCUGACUACGGCACGUUCAGCGGCAACCACUUCCGCGCCACCCUCAGGUGGAACGCGAGUGUAGACCUCGACCUUCGUAUGGUGGUCAAGGGGCAGAGCCUUUUCAGAACCGACAAGGUGAUGCGCAUCAACUGGGGCGAAGAGAAAGACAGCGUCUUCAACUUGGAGGCAGACGAGCGCGGUGGAAACGACGGCCUCAAAUC
This 246-nucleotide small nuclear RNA is filed under the name Prorocentrum minimum. RNAcentral's name for it is "partial Dictyostelium signal recognition particle". The record is from RNAcentral. Lineage: Eukaryota; Dinophyceae; Prorocentrales; Prorocentraceae.